GAUUGAACGCUGGCGGCAGGCCUAACACAUGCAAGUCGAGCGGAAACGAGUUAACUGAACCUUCGGGGAACGAUAACGGCGUCGAGCGGCGGACGGGUGAGUAAUGCCUAGGAAAUUGCCCUGAUGUGGGGGAUAACCAUUGGAAACGAUGGCUAAUACCGCAUGAUGCCUACGGGCCAAAGAGGGGGACCUUCGGGCCUCUCGCGUCAGGAUAUGCCUAGGUGGGAUUAGCUAGUUGGUGAGGUAAGGGCUCACCAAGGCGACGAUCCCUAGCUGGUCUGAGAGGAUGAUCAGCCACACUGGAACUGAGACACGGUCCAGACUCCUACGGGAGGCAGCAGUGGGGAAUAUUGCACAAUGGGCGCAAGCCUGAUGCAGCCAUGCCGCGUGU
This 391-nucleotide ribosomal RNA is filed under the name Vibrio parahaemolyticus. Its description in RNAcentral is "bacterial SSU rRNA". It matches the Rfam family "Bacterial small subunit ribosomal RNA", at positions 27 to 404 of the family's 1533-position model. The record is from RNAcentral. Lineage: Bacteria; Pseudomonadati; Pseudomonadota; Gammaproteobacteria; Vibrionales; Vibrionaceae.